UGCAGUCGAGCGGUAGGCCCUUCGGGGUACACGAGCGGCGAACGGGUAGAGUAACACGUGGGUGAUCUGACUUGCACUCUGGGAUAAGCCUGGGAAACUGGGUCUAAUACCGGAUAUGAGCCUGGACUGCAUGGUCCGGGUUGGAAAGGUUUACUGGUGCGAGAUGGGCCCGCGGCCUAUCAGCUUGUUGGUGAGGUAACGGCUCACCAAGGCGACGACGGGUAGCCGACCUGAGAGGGUGACCGGCCACACUGGGACUGAGACACGGCCCAGACUCCUACGGGAGGCAGCAGUGGGGAAUAUUGCACAAUGGGCGCAAGCCUGAUGCAGCGACGCCGCGUGAGGGAUGACGGCCUUCGGGUUGUAAACCUCUUUUGACAGGGACGAAGCGCAAGUGACGGUACCUGUAGAAGAAGCACCGGCCAACUACGUGCCAGCAGCCGCGGUAAUACGUAGGGUGCGAGCGUUGUCCGGAAUUACUGGGCGUAAAGAGCUUGUAGGCGGUCUGUCGCGUCGAUUGUGAAAACUUGCAGCUCAACUGCAAGCUUGCAGUCGAUACGGGCAGACUAGAGUACUGCAGGGGAGACUGGAAUUCCUGGUGUAGCGGUGAAAUGCGCAGAUAUCAGGAGGAACACCGGUGGCGAAGGCGGGUCUCUGGGCAGUAACUGACGCUGAGAAGCGAAAGCGUGGGUAGCGAACAGGAUUAGAUACCCUGGUAGUCCACGCCGUAAACGGUGGGUACUAGGUGUGGGUUUCCUUCCACGGGAUCCGUGCCGUAGCUAACGCAUUAAGUACCCCGCCUGGGGAGUACGGCCGCAAGGCUAAAACUCA
Molecule: ribosomal RNA, 831 nt
Filed under: Nocardia sp.
Lineage: Bacteria; Bacillati; Actinomycetota; Actinomycetes; Mycobacteriales; Nocardiaceae
Description: bacterial SSU rRNA
Rfam family: Bacterial small subunit ribosomal RNA
Source: RNAcentral